GAAAUAAUCAGACACAGCUGGGCAAAAUCAGGAAAGCACACGUGGAUAAUCAUGGGGCGUGGCACACACGAGGAGCGGACGAGCAGGGCAUGACACGUGUAUAUCAGUAUAAUUAAUUUUCCAAUUUUAGACAAAAACAACAAAAACAAAUAAAACAGGUGCAUUUUUACCAAUCUGAAUACAGCAAUCGUAAAAGGAAAAUGGAAGGAAAAGGAAAAUGGGUUUGUUUUCCAUUGACGUUGUGUCUGUUUUUAAGAAGUCAGAAGACGCCUCCUAUUCCGUUUGACUAUACUGUAAGUGAGUUAGGUGAUAGGUGUGCCAUCUGUUAUCGGCCAGCUCCAAAAACGAGAGAGGCGUGGCCAGGUUCAGAAGGCAAAGUCAACGGAGCAGCUGAGAAAUGGCAAGGGCAGGAUGUCCAGAGGACCUGUAGGGCAACCCCCCCGAACCUUACGGCACGCAACACCCCCCCACGCAAGAGUGAACCCAGGAAGUUGUUCACAAUCACAAACAUGAGCAAUACAAUCAAGGGCACUCAGAAAAAAAGCAACAGAAAACCAGGAAAAACAGAAACGAGUCGCGAGCAACCGAGGGUGUCUAGUUCUGGAGAAGGUGUCUGCCAUAAGGUUAUUGACCCCUUUCUUAUGUUUAAUCUCCAGGUUAAGUGACUGGAUGAUUAGAGCCCAGCGCAAUAAACGCUGGUUAGUGUUACACAUUCGGGUCAGGAAAACCAAAGGGUUAUGAUCAGUAUAUACGAUCACCAGAUGAGCACAAUCCUCUACAUACACUUCAAAGUUUUGCAAGGCUAAAAGAAGGGCUAGGGCUUCCUUCUCAAUCGCACUGUAUGCUAGUUCGUGUUUUAAAAACUUCUUGGAGAAGUAGCAGACAGGAUGGUCCAACGCGUGACUGUCUUUCAGGAGGAGGACAGCACCAGCACCCAAUCCGCUGGCAUCCAUUUCCAACUUGAAUGGUUUGGCGAAAUCCGGAGCAGCUAGAACGGGGGAGCUACUGAGCAACAUCUUAACCGAAUGAAAGACACACUGACAGGCUGGGGACCACCCUCAUGAAGCAAUUGGAUGGCCUGAACAUGGGAUACGAACUUGGAACUACCACCUGGAACACAGUAGCCCACGCAAAAGGUAGUGGAGACUAAACAGAUGACGGAGAAGAUGCUACCGGACGGGGAUGAACUUUUCGGGGUAGCGGAGUCGGUGUGAACACAGUCCUAUGGGUCAACACGAACUUAUCGGCAAGGGUGGCAGCUUCAGCUAGACGAGGGAAAGAAGUUGCUUUCUGCUCAUUCAGUUUCCUGGGAGCCUGGUGAACCGGAGGGAGAGCGGCGGCCAGGUCGAGGGUCAUCUGGGGCAUCAGCUCGGUCACGGGCAGACAGGCCUGAAUGAGGGGUUGUACCCGUUCCAGCUCCCUAAGCCGACUUGUGAGGAGCAGGUCCUCCCUGGCUGAGCAAGGAUCGCUGAGAUCCAUGCGGAUCCCCAGCCCCAGAUCGUCGCUGCUUGCUUCCGCUGCAGCCGACAACCGCACGGGAAUGUAUGCAACACCCGGCGAGCCGGCCAACUCGGGUAGGAUACCCUGCCGAAUCAGUUCGUCCUGCAGGACCUGUUUAAUACUUCGCCUCGGCUUUGAUUGUCCCAUGAAAUAUUCAUGUGGGCUGCUUUAGUUUCUGAGAUACAAAUGUUUGCUUACAUGUUGACAUUUGGGUGUCAUCCCGUCUCCCAUUACUUCCUAGGUUUGUUUUGAUUGCUAGUGUGUGCUCCUGUUCCCUGGGCUGAGUGUAUGGUUAUGAGAGAAGCAUCCCUAACCUACCAGAUUUAAGGCAGCCCUGGGGCCAGCCUGAAAUGUUUUUUAUGUAAUGGCUGUUUUUCUUUGUUUACUCCCAGUUAAAUUGUGUUGAUAUGUUUGUUAAUUCCUUGUUGAUUUGCUCCUUGCUAUCGCCUGCUUGAGGUAAUGUUUAGUUAACCCUUUUACAUUCCCUUUCCAUGGGCCAGAUUCUUGAAGCAGCAUAUCUUGCUGAGCCGGAUAACUUGUUGCAUUGUAAGGUAGUGUGGGCUAAAUAAAAGUAAAUGAAGAUACAGUUUAUUUAAAUGAGGUACCUUGAAUCUCAUAAGUUAUCCAGCUAAACAAAAAAGCCUGUACAGGAUACAGGUCCCAGCUUACCAGAACCAUGACAAACAAGACAAAAACUCCAGAUAACCAAGAACCACAAGCCUGAAAACAAGAUGCUAGUGGUCAAAACCACAAACCAGUGACAAUGCAACCUAAAAAUAAACUACACCUAGUCCCUGGGGUGCUGGUAGAGAUUUUGGCCCCCAACAAAGCAUGUCAUAUUGGGCCCCUAACCUAGAUCAAUCCAAUUACCUUCCAAAUUUUCCAUGUUCCUUGUCUCUCUGGGACCUCUGUAAUCGUCCUAUCUCCCACCCCCCUUUAUGGCACCCCUGCCCAGCCCCACUAAUCCAAAAGCUAAACUCUGAACCAAACCUAGCUCUGAGCCUCAGCCUCAUAAUGACUCAGCACCAGGCACCACUUAUAUAGGUCCAGCUUGUUCUGGGUCACAGAGACCUUGCUCAAUUACCUGAUUGCAAUGUAGCACAAUUACUGGAUGUAUUUUUUGCACAUUUUAUAGUUUGACAUAUUAUCUAAGCAUAAAAUUAGCUAGAAAUGUUACAGCUUAACCCACUACAAAAAUUUUGUCAUCUCUCUGAGACACCAGCAAAAAUACAUAUGCAAAAUGGUACAUUUACAUUUGUCCAAACGAGAUUCACUCAUUUUAAACACUAUUGAGGUCAACUUAAGACAUUAAAAGAAACCUAAAAUCCCUAAAGGAAAUGGCAAUUGUUAAGUUACCUUUUAAAACUGCUGCAGAAUCCCUGUAGAAGACAAUUUGCAUUGUAAGUGAUCCAUACUAGCAUCUGUCGAAAGUACUUAAACAUUAAAUACGGCACAAAGCCUCCCAGCUGACCAUAUUAUGUUUUACUGCUUCAUUCUGCUCGGAUCUUUUGAGACUUUAUUUGCUCUUACAAGUUACGAAUCUCAUCAAGGACUAAAUGAAAGAUCAAAGUCGCAGCCCAUGGCUAAUGUUUGGUUCCCACUGACUUCAUCUGCAGAUUGAAGGACCAUUAAUCCAGGAAGCAGAAACUUCUGACUCUCAUCAUCAUUAAUAAUUUCAUAUUUGAUUAAUUACAGUGCUCUUGUCUCUGCAAUGCAAUAACACAAAGUAAACAGAGAUUGAUACAUAGAGAAACUUAUUUCCAGGUAUCCCUGACAGUCGCAGUCUAAAUUAUAUACUGAUUCCAGACUAUUGUCUUUUACAUAGUUACAUAACAGCGUCUGUUGUAUGCAAGUGUUCUCCUUGUCGUUUAUUCUUUUUAUGGUUAAGGCAUUUUACCCAUACAGGCCAGCAUAAAAAUGCCGAAUUGACCAUUCAGAGCACAGGAUCAGAACAUUGUCUUGCAUAAUACAAUACACACAAUGCUCAGAGGCACUUCUAUCCAAAAUUUAUUGGAUGAGGAAAGAGAAGAAAAAGAACAGCAUUGUAUUACCACACUGGUUAGUAUAAGGCAAUAUAAUGCAUUAUAAAGGCGUCUAUAGCGCAUUAUAAAUGAGAGCUUCAUAAGGCAGUCAUAAUGCAUAAUAAACAUGGCUAUAAUGUAUUAUGCCUUUUUAUAAAUAUUUGUAGUUGGGUCUAUAAUACUUUAUGAAAGCUAUCUAUAAUGCAAUAUACAUGAGUGCUUUAAUAAACUGAUACCCAAAUGACUCAUAAAGAAUACAUGCAGCUGUAAAAUGCAACAGAUAGCAAAGUUGGCAAUAUGAACAUACUGCUGGUCCCACGUCAGUCGGGUGUGGCACCCCCCCGGGCCAGGAAACAUGCAGUGAUGCCGUGCGGAAGGAGGUCAUACAAACAUUGUAUCCUCCCAUAUGGGAAGUUGUCCCGCAGCUGUUGUUUCUGGCCCUCGAGAUCCUGCAGAUUGGUGCUGGAUCUGAGUUGGUGUCUGAGCUAACCCCACAUGUGUUUGAUAGGGGAAAGUUCGGGGGACCUGGCUGGCCAUGGGAGGACCUCAACAUGAUGCAGACAGUCCAUAGACACACGUUCCAUGUGUGGAUGAGCAUUGUCUUGUCAAAAGACUGCACCAUCUCAUGAGCUUCUGUAAUGCUUGCCGCAUAAUACAACGAUCCUCCCUUGAUGUGGUCUGUCUUGGGCGGAACCUUCACGACGUGUGGGUGCCCUCACAUGGCCACUGGUUCCAACAUCGGGCGACUGUGGCAUUAGAUGUGCCAGCUCCUUGCAAAUCAUUUACAUACUCAUCGCUGGUAUGUAUGUGUACCAAAUAACAUCGAAACUGGACUGGGUGCUUGACUUUUUUUGCCACUGAGUGUAGUUGAUUAGUUUGGUUAGUUAAGUAAUUUGAAGUAUGCUUUAGAAAUAGCCAUAACGAUCCUCCCAUAUUGGCCCUUUUUUGCUUCUCGGCCUUUUUUCAGUCCAGGACUGUAAAGCUGCCUAACGAGGGGUAGGUGACAGAUAGAGAGUGUGAUCUUGCUACAUACACAUCUCCAUUAUUGAUAGCUACACUGAGAAGGGCAUGGGUGUUUGCUGGGGGUGGGUGAUGCCCCACAUGUUUGCGGUUUCAGUUUUCUAGCAUUAUCAUUCAGCGUUUGUGAUUCUCUUUGUUGCGUUGCCAGUAUAAAACCUGGGUAGAUGUAGCCUUAUGUGACUCGCUGCAGUGGAGCCCCACUGUUCUUCUGCAAGAAAAAAACAUCAGUCUGUUUUCAUUUUUGUUGUCUAUGCGUGGCUCAGAAUAAUUUUCAGAGGAAAAUCAGACAGAGGGCUUCUCUUGGGGCUCAAUAUCUGGCAUGACGAUAGAUAAUGAAGGCAUGAAGAUUUGUAAAACAAUUUAAUGGCAUUCAGUCAUAUUAAACUUAAAGUUUAAUAUUAAACUUAAACUUAUUCUGUUUGUCUGGUUUCAGCUUUUUUAAUUUUAAAUGUGAAAACUUAAAAACUUCCUUUUCAGGAGCACUGGAAGUGGUAAUAUUGGGCAGUGUAGAAGUGUUCUAGAACAUCCAAGUUUGUGACUGAAGAGAUAAGGGGAAAAGUUAUUUUAAACUUUUAAAGACAGGUUCCAUGAAAACCAUGACGUUACAGAAUGAUUAAUUAUAUUUAAGAUUUACGCUUUCUGUGUAAACAAAUUAAAUAAGAAAGUCCCCAACCUUCAGAAGUUACUGUUAUUUUUAUUUAGUCAAAUUGACAAGAUCAAACAGCAUAUGAAUUUGCUUAUAAACCUCUUGAAACGGUGUGGUGGUGAUGCUACUUGCCAUCGGACACUAAUAUUGUUUUUUCGCUCGGAGAUUCCAUGCAUCACAGCUGCCAAUAUCGUAGCAAAAUGAAAAUGUCACAUUUAAUCAAAGUCAGUCAUGAGCAAUUAGAAACAUGUUAAAUGACUGAAUUCAUCAAUCUAGGAAAUCAUCUACACAUUAUUAAUUUCCUAUUUGCCCUAAAUUUUGAUUAAUUCAAAAAGACACUUUAGUCCUUUUGCUUCCGUUUUUUGUUAGUUACAAGUGAGAAGAUGGUAAGAUUUCUAUUAUUUUUUUCCCAGUAUUGGCUACAUUAUUUGUGUGAUUUACACAAAAGCCAAAAGCAGAUUCAGUGUAUUAAAAGUAAAUGAGAAUCAAUGCAAUAAAAAAGUCAUUUUAAAAUGCUGCACUGAAAUUAUCCUAAUUGAGUCAAAUGCAUAAUAUAUCCACUGUAGAAAUUGCACUCUCUGUGUUUUUAGAUCAGACUUGGAACUAAUGUUAUUCAGAAUAUUACGUAUACAUCUAAUACAAAAAAAAGGAAUGUAACUGAUUACAAAAGCAUGUUAAAUUUUAAUAGCUGAAAAGAAACAAAAAAAAUUAACAAUAAGAUGCAACAUCUAUCAAUCUUUCAUUGACAUUAUAGAUUGCGAAAGGCCCGGUGAAUCCUUUGGGCAACGCAGACGGCAGCCGAGGGCACAAACUUCUGAGGGGGCGUCGACUUACCAGCCAAUUUCACUUUGCCUCGGGCAGGGAGCGCCAGGGGUGAUGCACGCCCGGAGCGGCACAAUGACUAGGACCGGUAGUGGAAUAUGCUAUGAAGCAUUGUGUAUUUGGUGGUGAACGUGUCUGGUAUUAUAAAAAUAAAUCUGAUGAUGUUUUAUUUUUAAUUGAAUACUAAGUCAUAUUUCAAAUACCACAUUGCAUUAGGAUUAACUUGGGGUUAGUGUAGGAAUAUUUGUACAUUGUUGAUAAUACAAUAAUAGUACAUUUACUAAAAAGUAAAAUAUUAUGAAUAAUGUUAAUUCCAUUAUUAGGUAUUUGAUAAAAAUACAUAUAUGCACAUCUUUAUUAUUCGGAAAAACAUUAUUAAGAAUAAAAUAAAGAUGUAAUGCACUUUCUAAGUUUCACAGUGUGUAGUCUGAUAUAGCUUAGUUGCCCCAGAGCAAAUGCAGGAAAGUGCAUAAAAAGUAGAGUUUAUAACUAAACUGCUUCUUAAUAUUUCUAAAGUAACUUUAGUCAUGCUGUUCACCCAUCGUUAUCACAGGCUAAAAAAUGUCUUAUACAGAUAAGAAAACCAAAUAAGAAGCAACUAAAAGUUCUUCAAAUACUCAGUUAAGUUAAAGGUCAUUAUAUGUGCCAUGCCCGGCUAGUCCGCUCCUCCUGUGUGCCACGCCCCCUGCUUACCCACGUGUGCUUCCCUGAUAGUACCCAGCUGUGUCCGUUUACUUUCAAUCAGUCCUGUCUUAUCAGAGUUCGAUGUCUGUCAUUGAUGUUAGUCGAUGUUCGUACCUUCGUCUCGGAUUAAACCCUCGUUUGCCCUGAUUUUCGGCUUCCAGUCCUGUUUGCCUGAUCCUCACCCGCCUACUCGCACGAUCGCCUGUCCGGCUCAACCCUGAACGUGGCAAUAUGUAUUUUUACUCUGACUGCUUGGAAAAUCCAGGGAAAAUGUAAAAAGCAGUGGUUUGGCUUGGUUCAGGUAUUCUGAAAGGAAUACCCAGAUAGUUUUUGGCCGUGUUAGAUCAAUGAAAGAAAUAUGACUUUCAUUGAAUAAUCAAAAAAUACAUUGUAGGAGACAUAUUUGACCCUGAAUGUGCAUGAAUUAGUACGUUGCAUCAUAUCAGUGCUUUUCUAACUUAAGGCAAUGGAUUUCUGCCUGUGGCAAUGAUCUUUCCCUUUUGGGCUUUAAGCAGCUACUGCAGUAGGAGUUAUCUGCAGAAGAUAAAGAGGCAGCAGUAGGGUAACUGGAGGACCAGCACCAUAGGUUGGAUUCUUUUAUGUAAUGGGAGCCCAAAGCCAUAGGCAGGAAAAUACUGAGUGACAAAUGAGACAAACGAGUUUACAAAAUGUGUAAACAGUGAUCAAGGAGUACAGAAGCCAGAGUACCGGGAACUCAAAGUCCAGGAAAUGAUGUGGUGAGCAACAGACUAGGCAGAAAAGAGAGCAGGCAGGGAGCAGGCAAAGACUAAUAACCAGGAAAAAGAAAAGAAUUUAGUGAAGACAGCAGUGCUCUGAAUUUCUCUGAAAUUUCGUAAGGACUGGAGUUAGGCGUCUGUUCACAUUUCGUUAUUGUUCCUGGUAAAUGUAGAUUUACGUUUUGUCCUAUGUGCAUAUUGUAGGAAUAAUUAGCUCAGGUAACUUUCAAUAUGUCCACUAAUCCAUCCAUCCAUCCAUUUUUCAAACUGCUUAUCCUACUGGGUCGCGGGGGGUCCGGAGCCUAUCCCGGAAGCAAUGGGCACGAGGCAGGGAACAACCCAGGACGGGGGGCCAGCCCAUCGCAGGGCACACUCACACACCAUUCACGCACACAUGCACACCUACGGGCAAUUUAGCAACUCCAAUUAGCCUCAGCAUGUUUUUGGACUGUGGGGGGAAACCAGAGUACCUGGAGGAAACCCCAUGACGACAUGGGUUUGGAAAAUGGAUGGAUGGAUGUUAUUUAAUGAUGAUCAUUAACUAAUUGUUAUGCCGAAUGGUCGGCUCCUCCAAACUCAAUUGCGAAUCCCCUUAGUAACCUGGGUUAGUAGGCUCGUCCUGAGAGCUGCAUCACCAGGUAAUGUAAACGAUCGGUAGCGAAGCUCCCCUCACGGCCGAUGAGAGAGAGUCUCACGAUAUUUCAGCCGAGGUUUGAGGUUUCAGAGCGUAGUAGCCAGAUCGCACAGAGGCAGGGACUAUUGUGAGCACUCAAUGAACGGAGGCUGAAGUUGUGUAAAAGACAUGCAUUUAUUCACAACUAACACUACAACUAACAUAAGACAGACAUUACACUUAACACAAACAACAAACACAAAAUAAUGAAAUAGAAACAAACAAUGUAAUUAUGGAAAUGCAAUGACCGGAUUUAAAUGAGUAACCUUAAAAGUGAAAUACUGUUCUGCAAAGCAAGCACAGUUUGUAGAAACACAACCCUAAAGUCAUAAAGCAGAUUAACAGAACAACUUAAGUUAUUCGAUAAGCGGAAGUUGGUUUACUUGGUUGCAGAGUGGGAGGAGGGGGUGUCUUGGCAGUUGGUAGCAGAGGUUGAUGAGCUGAUGGGAUGAUGGCUCUCAGGGAGGCGCGGAGUUUGGAGCGGUUGUUGGAGUGGAGCCCCUUGCAUUCUCCACCCUUAUGAAGUUUUAAGGUGAAAGGCUUUGUCCUGGUUUCAGUUCACUUUUGGGUAGCAGACCAUCACUGGCAGGCUUCAGGAGGGCUUCUUGCGGGCUGCUCUUCUCUCUGGAUUUCUCUUCUCCUCCUGGGCUGAUGUUCUCCCCCUCUUCUCCUUGGGCUCUCCUAGGCUUUGUUCUGAGGUGCCAUGUUUAAAGUUCAUGAAUAGGGAUGACCAGGAAUUUAACAGCUGAACCAAUGGCUGAACAUGUAGUUGACGGGCUUUCGGGGGGGUGUCUGUGGCAGUCCUUUUGGGAUUUAUGACUAGACUAAUUCCCCUUUCCCGAUGAUUUUCAUUAAACUGGUAUAACUUUUGGUAAAUACAGUUUCAUGGUAACCACAGACCAGAUUUGGAAUCAGGAGUGAUUUUCCAUCCGUUUGACACCAAACAUGCCAUACCAGCCUAGCGAUUCACACCUCAUACCAUCUGUAUUAAUUAAUGAAGAAUUUCUUAUAUUAUGUAUGUUAAUGAAUCCCAUCUAUAUACAAUAUUGGUGUUUUACGUUGCACAUCAACAGAGGUAACUACUUUGGAUAAUUUGUACACACACGACAUUGCAUAUUCACAUUGAUGCAGCAUAUCUUAUCCUUAGAUAGGCGUGGCCAUUAGUUUGUGUAAAUUUAACAUCUGGGAACAACAUAUUUUGGUUGGUGCAGCUUAUCCCAAUUGAUCUGCUCUCCAGAAUUUAAAAUGUACAGAUUAAUUCAAUCUUUUACUGCAUAAUAGUAGAGGACAAAGAAAUGCUAGCAGACCACAGAGAUCAGAGAAGGGCCACAGAGGAAUGUUGAAGACAAUGAAACAAAGGAAGAACCUCUGAUAGUUAGGAGACAUUAAGAUACUUGGUUAUUUAAUUUUCAAAAUUCUGGUAUAACCAUGAGAAUAAGUAUGCAGGGGUAGCUAUACAGUACAUAUUUAUUUAUCCAUAUUUAUAUAAGUGUUCGAGUGAGAAGGAUAUAAUAGGUGAUACUCUGUGAAACAUGGUUAUAACUGUGGCACAUACAAACACAACCUAUGUGGAUCUUGAGACUAGUAGUCAUGAGUAAACUAAUAUACAGGGUGUACAAAAGCCGAACUUACAAUAAACUUUCUUUAGGGUGUUGGGUGAGUGGUAUGUAAGGCAGGAUGUAUGGGGAGAUCCACUCUGCUGUCCGUAGGUCCCGAAAUCUUUAGGCCAUAAAACAAACACCCCUUUUGUGCCUGGGCCAGCGAGUACCUCUCAUACCAGGCUGGGCCUUGUCUCAGGCAGCCUCGAAUCUCAGCCCUGUCAUACUGUAUGCAUGUGUGUGAUCCUACACUAUCUAGGCAAUUUUUCAAAUGUCCACUGCCUUUCAUGACAUUUAUAAAAUACUGUCUCAAACGCAGAGUGAAAGCCUCUAUAACUGCCUCCGUUCUGGCACUUUCUUUGCCUUUCCAAUUGUUUCUGUAGCCUGUAGUAUUUGUGACUUGUCUACUGUUGUCUACUCACUGAACUACAACUUUUUGGUGUUCAAUGGAGGUCACUGUGGUAAUGAAAUGUUAGAUGGUUGUAUGACCAUGGAAAGUGUUUACGGAUAGUUUUGAAUUAGCUGGUUUAGGGAUAGUGGCUUUCUAAAAGGUAACCUUCAGAAAAUAUCACCAAGGCUCCCUUGUUCCUCAUUUAUGCCGCCUCUUAAAUGCAGAGCUCUCCUUGCUCAUGCAAAGGAAUAACUAUUCACUGUAACAAAGUGACUGUUUCUAUUGUAAAUAAAAGUAAUUCGUAUUCCACAGGCUGCACUGUGCCUCCAGUUUGGUGCAUGAAUAUGCAUCACAUAAUUUUGGCUGGAAAUUCAUACUUUUUUUUCUCUCUCCUGCUCUCCAACACAGACUCCAGCUCUGCUUUCAAAAACAGUCACAUACAGCCUCCUUUCAUUUGUGUUAGCUGUAGUUAGAGUUCAAUUUCAUGCUAGUUUCUCAGAAUAAAAAUGUUCCUAGUUUAUUUUUAAAAAUUUCUGCCUGCUUCUCAAAGGCAUAAAAAAAAGAUUUUCCCCUCUCCUACUGAUAAUUGUCUUUGUAUUUCUUUUUCAUUCUGCAUUGUCUAUUUUGAGACUUUCCCUCCUCAUACAAAGACUGCUGGAAUUGGAAACUUUCUUCAUAUUGUUCAAAGAUGGUGUAUAAUGAAUCCAUUACAUACGCAUCUGUCUUCA
This is a long non-coding RNA of Brienomyrus brachyistius, 10820 nucleotides long. RefSeq lists it as uncharacterized. NCBI's taxonomy places the organism in Eukaryota, Metazoa, Chordata, Actinopteri, Osteoglossiformes, Mormyridae. The transcript is spliced from 5 exons. The record is from RefSeq and is a predicted model, not a curated record.